UAACUGGAUUUAUUUAAAUCCAAAAAAACAUAAGUAUAAAUAUUG
Molecule: non-coding RNA, 45 nt
Filed under: Helianthus annuus (common sunflower)
Lineage: Eukaryota; Viridiplantae; Streptophyta; Magnoliopsida; Asterales; Asteraceae
Description: sRNA HanXRQr2_Chr13g0618321
Rfam family: Histone 3' UTR stem-loop
About the family: The mRNAs of metazoan histone genes lack a poly-A tail. 3' end processing occurs at a site between a highly conserved stem-loop (modelled by this family) and a purine rich region around 20 nts downstream (the histone downstream element, or HDE).
Source: RNAcentral